CCUACGGGGAGCAGCAGUGAGGAAUAUUGGUCACUGGGCGAGAGCCUGAACCAGCCAAGUCGCGUGAAGGAUUAAGGAUCUAUGGUUUGUAAACGUCUUUUAUAUGGGAAUAAAGUGAGGAACGUGUUCCUUUUUGUAUGUACCAUAUGAAUAAGCAUUGGUUUAACACGUGCCAGCAGCCGCGGUAAUACUGAGGAGGCGAGCGUUAUCCGGAUUUAUUUGGUUUAAAGGGUGCGUAUGUGGUUAAUUAAGUCGGCGGUGAAAGUUUGUGGCUCAAACAUAAAAUUGCCGUUGAAACUGGUUGACUUGAGUAUACUUGAGGUAGGCGGAAUGCGUGGUGUAGCGGUGAAAUGCAUAGAUAUCACGCAGAACUCCGAUUGCGAAGGCAGCUUACUAACCUAUAACUGACACUGAAGCACGAAAGCGUGGGGAUCAAACAGGAUUAGAUACCCGAGUAGUC
This 460-nucleotide ribosomal RNA is filed under the name uncultured bacterium. RNAcentral describes it as "partial 16S ribosomal RNA". It matches the Rfam family "Bacterial small subunit ribosomal RNA", at positions 338 to 795 of the family's 1533-position model. The record is from RNAcentral.